CUUUAACCCUGGAGUGAGUGAGAAGGAAGCAGCAGCUUUUAUCAUCAAAGUGAUUCAGAACUGCUUCCUGAGCAGCAGGAGCAAAACGUAUGACAUGAUCCAGUACUAUCAGAACCAGAUCCCCUACUGAGUGUGUGUUUGUGUUUCUCUUACUGUCUCUUAACGCUAAGUUGCACUGUUGUCUCGGUCUGGUGUGUUUGUGCACUUUAUACACCUGAAAUGUGUUUACAUGGAUUUAUUCGCACUGAUAUCAGCACUUAUGAAAUGUUUUCUGCACACAUCACACUGUCUGCUGUAGAUGCUUUUAAAAUUACAAAACCACUUUUGAGCCACUUUAAUUUUUAGAUUUUGUGAUUUUGUUGUCAGUCUUAAUUUCCAGUUAAAUCAUGUGGUUGUUAAACUACUGCAGAUGUGGUUAUGGACACAAAAGGCUUGGACUACAGACAAAUGUUAUAUUUUAGAGGUGACAAAUUUACACAUUAAUGCACAAAUUAACAAAAAUCAGUAUUUGAAUGUUUAUUAUGUAAUAGAGGAGAGAUGUUUGAAGAGUUAAUUGUCUGGUUUUUCUUGGUAGUGUUUGCAGCUCUGAAUAUGUGUUCAUGUUUCUGAAUCACUGCUUGUUUUGCAGUAUGUGACUGUUUAUUGAUCAGUUGAUCGUACAGUGUGACUAAUCUUUGUUUGCUCAUUUAUACAAAUCAAUUUUCUGCCUCUCUUUCUGUUCUAUUCUGUUUGUUUGGAUUAUUUAUUCUGUGUGUGUGCUAUUUAAUAAAUGCCCACGGUAAUCACCUGUA
Carassius carassius (crucian carp) is the source of this 791-nucleotide long non-coding RNA. RefSeq lists it as uncharacterized. NCBI's taxonomy places the organism in Eukaryota, Metazoa, Chordata, Actinopteri, Cypriniformes, Cyprinidae. The record is from RefSeq and is a predicted model, not a curated record. The transcript is spliced from 2 exons.